UGCAGUCGAGCGGAACGAGUUAUCUGAACCUUCGGGGGACGAUAACGGCGUCGAGCGGCGGACGGGUGAGUAAUGCCUAGGAAAUUGCCCUGAUGUGGGGGAUAACCAUUGGAAACGAUGGCUAAUACCGCAUAAUGCCUACGGGCCAAAGAGGGGGACCUUCGGGCCUCUCGCGUCAGGAUAUGCCUAGGUGGGAUUAGCUAGUUGGUGAGGUAAUGGCUCACCAAGGCGACGAUCCCUAGCUGGUCUGAGAGGAUGAUCAGCCACACUGGAACUGAGACACGGUCCAGACUCCUACGGGAGGCAGCAGUGGGGAAUAUUGCACAAUGGGCGCAAGCCUGAUGCAGCCAUGCCGCGUGUGUGAAGAAGGCCUUCGGGUUGUAAAGCACUUUCAGUCGUGAGGAAGGUAGUGUAGUUAAUAGCUGCAUUAUUUGACGUUAGCGACAGAAGAAGCACCGGCUAACUCCGUGCCAGCAGCCGCGGUAAUACGGAGGGUGCGAGCGUUAAUCGGAAUUACUGGGCGUAAAGCGCAUGCAGGUGGUUUGUUAAGUCAGAUGUGAAAGCCCGGGGCUCAACCUCGGAAUUGCAUUUGAAACUGGCAGACUAGAGUACUGU
RNAcentral lists this ribosomal RNA (615 nucleotides) under Vibrio sp. P25. RNAcentral's name for it is "bacterial SSU rRNA". It matches the Rfam family "Bacterial small subunit ribosomal RNA", at positions 56 to 652 of the family's 1533-position model. The record is from RNAcentral. Lineage: Bacteria; Pseudomonadati; Pseudomonadota; Gammaproteobacteria; Vibrionales; Vibrionaceae.